RNAcentral lists this long non-coding RNA (523 nucleotides) under Ananas comosus (pineapple). RNAcentral's name for it is "long non-coding RNA (ACOM_LNC015702)". The record is from RNAcentral. Lineage: Eukaryota; Viridiplantae; Streptophyta; Magnoliopsida; Poales; Bromeliaceae.
UUUUAAAGAUAAAAAAUUUUAAAUAUAUAUAUUAUUAAUUCAACUUUUAUAGAUAUAAAUCACAGCUAUUUAAAUCACAGCUAUUAAUUCAACUUUUAUCACAAAAUAUAUUAAUUUUUUGUCAUCGGAUCUAAUUCAAUAACCGACAAAUUAAGUAUCUGUCAUUUAUCAAAUUUCAUAUUUUAUACGCAUACCUUAUCUCCUAAUAAUCGCGCCACCUAUAUAGUAUUAUAUUAUAUAUAAUGAAUAAAAAAAUAUUUCAUUACCAACGGUUAUGAUUAAUUUAUUAAAAAAUAUUUUAAAUAAAAAGGAAUGGUUAUAGUCAAUCUAUUAGAAAAUAUCAUUCUUAUCAAUCAAUAUAUCAAAUUCUACGAUUAUGAUUAAUUUGUUAUAAAAUAUUUCAACUAAAAACGAGGGUUACGAUCAAUCUAUUAAAAAAUAGUAUUUUUGUUCAUAGAUUUUAUAUUAAAAUUAAAAUUUGAGUUUAAAUCAUGAAUUGAAUUUAAUUUUGGACAUAAAUUUG